GGUGUGCCCAUGUGCAAGAAUUCAGUGUCCAUAUGGAAAAACUCCUCUGUGGAUCUUCUUGGAAGACUUGACACAGUGAAUUUAAAAGGACAUCACUGAUUCUGAGUGAGAGACUGCAUCCAACUUUCCCCUUUGAGUGAGUCAUGAAUAAGCAACUGGAUUGGAUCAUCUACAAAGCCUGUUCCAAACCAGCUCAUGUGCAUGAAUAUGAGAGACUAGAGAAGAUCCAAAUCAACUUACGUAGGGUCAGAGACCAUGACAGACACUAAGAGCUUUUAAAUAAGACACACGCUAAGCAAGCACGGUCUGGUCUAUAAACCAUACAUUUGUGCCUGGGAAUCUCCCUACAUCAAAGUUUCUAGAACCUGCUUCAAAGGUGCAUCUUAAUAUAUUAAUUCAUUUGUAUCUUUGCUUUGGAUCAUAUUGAGUAUUAAUAUGAUGCAUUGUCUGGCUCUAUUUUUCUUAACACCUUGCUUGGCUCAACUACAUCUGCCGCUGUUAAUUUCAGCCUAGUUAAGUAUUUGUUCAGUAUGUGCCCUGUCCACAAACGGCUUCUCUACCAGGUCUCCUGAAGCCAGUUAAUGGUAAUGAGGCUUAUUGUUUCAAGUCCACAUUGGUGCAAGGCAAGUAUCCAUGAGCACAUGACCAUGUCCAGAGAUGUGGUCAUGUACAGAAUGGUAUAGAACUUUCACAGUGACUCUGAGUAAAGAAAAUAUUACAAAACAGCUAUACACAUGAUAAGAUUGGAAAGGCUUCUAUUAUUGUUGUCUAAAUGGCUAAACACUUAGAUGCUUGGAACUUAGAGUAGUCCAAAUUAAGCUCCUUACAGAUUUUUGAAAGAUGCUUCUUCUCCUUUGUUAAUGAAAGUAAUUGCCUACAAGUUUAUUUCCAGUCAAAGUGCCCACUCCAGGGAUGAGCAUGGGCUUCUUUGGACAGUCAGCACCUCUUUGGGAUUCUGUUUUGCAGACUUUCCUUCUCUCUCAUUUUAUUACUUUUUCCCCAUCCUAAUUCUCUGGCCCUGCUUGUCUCUGUCAUGUGUGCACACGUAACAGAUGUUCACGUAUAAGAGAAACAUUAAAAGAAUCAAUCAAUACAGUGUGUCAUGGAGGCUGUUGGGCUCUUGCAAUGGCUUCCCUUGGCAAUAGCUGCCAUGUGGAGGGCUCCUAGCUCCCCAUUUUCACUGGAAACCCAGCUUCCCCAGAGUUGUGACUGUUCAUCAACCAUGGCUGCUCAGACAUAUGGCAAAGCCUUCCUUGGUGUGUAAAUGGUGGUCACAUGUCAAGAAAGUGCUCUCUUUAGCUUUCUCCCUAAAUACCAAAUACUUAUGGCAUAUAUACUGUUCUCUUACAGUGAAAGAUUCCAUCAAAAUUUGCUCAAUUUCAGCUGAAUAUAAUAACCUUGCCUCCAUGUUUAUAUGUGUGUAAUAAUCCCACCUCCCUGUUCAACUGUAUACAAUAAAUAUUCUGAAAUUCCC
This 1474-nucleotide long non-coding RNA is filed under the name Mus pahari (shrew mouse). Its description in RNAcentral is "RIKEN cDNA 4930517E11 gene (MGP_PahariEiJ_G0005538.1)". The record is from RNAcentral. Lineage: Eukaryota; Metazoa; Chordata; Mammalia; Rodentia; Muridae.